This 554-nucleotide long non-coding RNA is filed under the name Brassica napus (rape). RNAcentral describes it as "long non-coding RNA (BNAP_LNC019836)". The record is from RNAcentral. Lineage: Eukaryota; Viridiplantae; Streptophyta; Magnoliopsida; Brassicales; Brassicaceae.
UAAAGCAUUAAAUUGAAAAUGUAUAUCUGCAAAACUAAGUGUUCGAAGACAACUUAUAAUCAAUGUGGCAAAGAUUAAUUAUUAUCAUUAUCAUAGAGAGUUUAUUCAUGUCGCAAAAAGAUAAAAUGAAAUAUAGCCAAGGUUAAGUACUGGAGUAAUUGUGUUGGUUGGCUCUUCUUUGAGAAGAAACGAGAGAGUGAAAUAUUUUGAUGUAAAUCAGUAUUGUACUAUUGUUUACGUCAAAGACCUCAGAGGGUGUUAAAAACAAAUUGGGAUCGAACUAAGAUGGUUCAUAUAGUCUGUGAUUAUGCAAUGAUUGUACAUGUGUGUUUAAAAUAAUUUCAACAAGGUUUGAAAGCAUAGACAUGUUGAUGAAUCUCGUUAAUGAACAAUUGUGUCUCAUAUUCUUGGUUUUUGUAUAUAGUUUUUUGACAUCAAACCUAUUUAGUUUACAAAUGUUUUAUGGCAUAACACCUCAGAUUAGUUUUAGAAAACGCGUAUAUUUAUUGAACGGUUUAUAUAUAAGUAAUAAGUUAUACAACAAGAGUUUUGUG